GCCAUACGUGUCAUGAGUAACUCAGACUGCUUCCCCUACUGCAGAUCAACAGCAGAGUGUGGACUCACAGUUUACUGAUUUUCCUACCAGGAAGAGCAUGUGCUGACCAACAGAUACGAAUUUCAACUAGGAGUUCUAACUCUCACAGCCUGUCUCCCUCAACUAGAACGUCAGCCCCACUAGGGCGAGAAUCUUCUAUUACCUCAUGUGUUCACUGUUAUGUCUACGGCGCCCAAAGCUGUGCCUGACACCGGAGCAAGAUUUGGGGAGGAAAUAAAGGGCGAC
Phyllostomus hastatus (greater spear-nosed bat) is the source of this 285-nucleotide long non-coding RNA. RefSeq lists it as uncharacterized. The record is from RefSeq and is a predicted model, not a curated record. The transcript has 3 exons. NCBI's taxonomy places the organism in Eukaryota, Metazoa, Chordata, Mammalia, Chiroptera, Phyllostomidae.